AAGGAGUAAACGACAACCAACGCGAGAGCAAUAAGAUCUAACCCCAUCCGGUAGAUCAGCUCUAACGCACAGUCUGCACAAUCAAUCCUACCAAGAUUUCACUGAGAUACCUGCUCAGGUCUACAGAGCAUCUUUGACAAGUUGGGCGCGCGUGAAGGCGUGCAAUAGAGUGACUCGUAGAGUCGUCUGUCGCUGCGAGGCGAUGGACGAAGAAUUUGCGAGGGAGAGUUGUGAGGUU
Molecule: unclassified non-coding RNA, 238 nt
Filed under: uncultured Planctomycetaceae bacterium
Lineage: Bacteria; Pseudomonadati; Planctomycetota; Planctomycetia; Planctomycetales; Planctomycetaceae
Description: 16S-23S ribosomal RNA intergenic spacer
Source: RNAcentral